Molecule: RNA transcript, 3359 nt
Organism: Panthera uncia (snow leopard)
Lineage: Eukaryota; Metazoa; Chordata; Mammalia; Carnivora; Felidae
Gene: VPS33A
Gene name: VPS33A core subunit of CORVET and HOPS complexes
Exons: 13
Source: RefSeq, a predicted model, not a curated record
CGUCAUGUGACUGCGUUCGUGGGCUACGCCUAGGGGGAAGCAAGAUGGCGGCACACCUGUCCUACGGACGAGUGAACCUGAACGUGCUGCGCGAGGCGGUGCGUCGCGAGCUGCGAGAGUUCCUGGACAAGUGCGCGGGAAGCAAGGCAAUAGUUUGGGAUGAGUACCUCACAGGACCAUUUGGCCUGAUUGCACAGUAUUCACUACUGAAGGAACAUGAAGUGGAGAAAAUGUUCACACUUAAAGGAAGUCGUUUGCCAGCAGCUGAUGUCAAGAAUAUUAUUUUUUUUGUCAGACCCAGGCUAGAGUUGAUGGAUAUAAUUGCUGAAAAUGUGCUCAGUGAAGACAAACGUGGCCCAGCAAGGGAUUUCCACAUUUUGUUUGUUCCACGACGAAGUUUACUGUGUGAACAGAGGUUGAAAGACCUGGGUGUUUUGGGAUCCUUUAUUCAUAGGGAGGAGUACAGCCUAGACCUCAUUCCAUUUGAUGGGGAUCUCUUAUCCAUGGAAUCAGAGGGUGCAUUCAAAGAAUGCUACCUGGAAAGUGACCAGACCAGCCUCUACCAUGCAGCCAAGGGGCUGAUGACCCUGCAGGCUCUGUACGGGACAAUCCCCCAGAUCUUUGGGAAAGGAGAGUGUGCCAGGCAAGUGGCCAAUAUGAUGAUCAGGAUGAAGAGAGAGUUUACAGGAAGCCAAAAUUCAAUAUUUCCUGUUUUUGAUAAUCUCUUGCUGCUUGAUCGAAACGUGGAUUUAUUAACACCUCUUGCCACGCAGCUUACGUAUGAGGGACUCAUUGAUGAAAUUUAUGGCAUUCAGAACAGUUAUGUGAAGUUACCUCCGGAGAAAUUUGUACCUAAGAAACAGGGCGAUGGCGGGAAGGACCUUCCCACGGAAGCCAAGAAGCUUCAGCUGAAUUCUGCCGAGGAGCUAUACGCUGAGAUCCGAGACAAAAACUUCAACGCGGUGGGCUCAGUACUUAGCAAGAAAGCAAAGGUGAUCUCCGCAGCGUUUGAGGAAAGGCACAACGCCAAGACGGUCGGGGAGAUCAAGCAGUUCGUGUCCCAGCUGCCCCACAUGCAGGCAGCGAGAGGCUCGCUCGCAAACCACACGUCGAUCGCCGAGUUAAUCAAAGACGUUACCACCUCUGAAGACUUCUUUGAUAAACUAACAGUGGAGCAGGAGUUUAUGUCUGGAAUAGACACUGAUAAGGUCAACAGUUACAUCGAAGAUUGUAUUGCCCAAAAGCACCCACUGAUCAAGGUGUUAAGACUGGUCUGCCUCCAGUCUGUGUGCAACAGUGGACUCAAACAAAAAGUUUUGGAUUAUUACAAAAGAGAAAUUCUCCAGACGUACGGCUAUGAGCACAUACUGACCUUAUACAACCUAGAGAAGGCUGGCCUGCUGAAACCACAGACGGGGGGCAGAAACAAUUACCCAACGAUCCGGAAAACGUUACGCCUCUGGAUGGAUGAUGUAAACGAACAGCCUGGGCCCGAGGGCAAGGAGGAGGAGCUGUCGCAGAAACCCGUUCCACAACCUGGAGAAAAGAGCUGUGUGGAGAGGCCGCCUGACAAGAUGAGGGAUGAGAGAGGCCUGUGGUCGAGGGACACAGCCAGCCUCCAGCAGUGUCGCCAGAGGAAGCCAGGGCAAUAACCCUGACGCCAUGCUGCUGCCCACUCCCCGGUAUUCCAUCCGGUGCCUCCCAUUGGCCGAACCCGAAUCGGGCACGGGAGCACGUUGGUAUAGAACCUGCAGGUUCGCCUCCUGGACACAGAGCACCGAGGAGGGCGGAGGGAUCGAAAAUAUUCAGCACGUGUGGUGAAAAUGUUGGCCAAUACAAAAGAAGAGUCUCCUGUAUCUACUGACAUUUUAACAUAAAUGAUGAGUAUUUUCAGAGCGCCUGGGUGACUCCCAUCGGUUAAGCGUCCGACUCGGCUCACGUCAUGAUCUCGCAGUUCGUGAGUUCAAGCCCCGCGUUGGGCUCUGUGCUGGCAGCUUAGAGCCUGGAGCCCACUUCAGAGUCUGUGUCUCUCUCUCUGCCCCUUCCCUGCUUGUUCUCUGUCUCUCUCCAAGAUGAGAUGAGAUGAGAUGAGAUGAGAUGGGAUGGAAUGGGAUGGGAUGGGAUGGGAUGAGAUGAGAUGAGAUGAGAUGAGAUGAGAUGAGAUGAGAUGAGAGGAGAUUAGUAUUUUCUACCACUGACCCUCAAAGCAGAGUGCACUUUGCUUUACAUUUACUAUUGAUGCCAGUCUUUCUAAAUUUCUUUUUCUUAUUUUCUGUUUUUGGACUUUCAUAGGCACUUUAUCAGGCUGCUUCCUGCAACAAAACCUAAUAAUUAAAAAGCCUCCUCUUCCAGUGGCAAAAUUGGAUUAUCUUUCCCCAGCGGGAGUAUAGAUACUCUUGAUUUCUACGUUGUACAGUGUAAACACUAUGCUAGUUCCACUCUCUCACUGUUCUCUUUUUUUUUUUUUUUUUAAUGUUUGUUUUUGAGAGAGAGAGAGAGAGAGAGAGAGCACAUGAGUGAGGGAGGAGCAGAGAGACAGGGAGACAGGAUCUGAAGCGGGCUCCGCGGGACUCGAAGUCACGAACUGUAAGAUCAUGACCUGAGCUGAGGUCGAUUGCUCAACCGACUGAGCUACCCGGGUGCCCCUCCCUCACUGUUCUGAUCUGCCCCUCCCCACCCCAACCACCACUUACCACUGUGUCUUGAAGAUCCUGUGAUCUACUUCAUUCUUUUUUGUAAGGUUUUUUUUUUUAAUGGUUGCAGAGCGGUCUUGCAGAUAAACCUUAAUUUACGACUUGCCAGAUUUCUCUCGCUAGAAAUUCAGGGUGUUCCCAGUCUGUUGCUAGCACCCACGGUGUUAGUUUACCGGUUUGCGCUUUGGUCUGUGCUGGUACAAGCCCCCUCUGUAGGGUAAAUACCUAAAAGUGGGACAGCCGAGUUCAAGGGGUGGGCUCGUUGUUACUCAGCUAGAGAGCGCCGGCUUACCCUCCAAGAAGUUUCUUGCCGGACCAGGUAACCUCGUUUCACGGCCAGUACCUAGAGAUGCUUUGAGUGGCGUUUUCAAGAUUUAAGUGGGAAGCGAACCUCUGGCAGCUAAGAAUCGGGCCCAGCCGGGGUGGACUGGAGCGGGACGUGGCCGGCCUUGAUUUGUGUUUCUGCCCUCACAGGCGAAUCGCGUAUUUUGGGGUUCCCCGUAAAGCCACUGUUCAGGGACUCUGUGUCUCUAUGUCUGUAGGCUUUUUUCCUUUAAUUAUUUAACAGAAUCCCACGGACAUAUCCUACGUGUACAGCGGCUAUGCCCCUCUCAGCGUGCGGCUGGCCCAGCUGCUGUCCCGGCCGGGCUGGCGAAGUAUCGAGGA